This 433-nucleotide ribosomal RNA is filed under the name uncultured bacterium. RNAcentral describes it as "partial 16S ribosomal RNA". It matches the Rfam family "Bacterial small subunit ribosomal RNA", at positions 29 to 507 of the family's 1533-position model. The record is from RNAcentral.
AACGAACGCUGGCGGCAUGCCUAACACAUGCAAGUCGAACGAGACCUUCGGGUCUAGUGGCGCACGGGUGCGUACCGCGUGGGAACCUGCCCUUAGGUUCGGAAUAACUCCCCGAAAGGGGUGCUAAUACCGGAUAAUGUCUUCGGACCAAAGAUUUAUCGCCUUUGGAUGGGCCCGCGUUGGAUUCGGUAGUUGGUAGGGUAAAAGCCUACCAAGGCGACGAUCCAUAGCUGGUCUGAGAGGAUGAUCAGCCACACUGGGACUGAGACACGGCCCAGACUCCUACGGGAGGCAGCAGUGGGGAAUAUUGGACAAUGGGCGAAAGCCUGAUCCAGCAAUGCCGCGUGAGUGAUGAAGGCCUUAGGGUUGUAAAGCUCUUUUACCCGGGAUGAUAAUGACAGUACCGGGAGAAUAAGCUCCGGCUAACUCCGUG